RNAcentral lists this ribosomal RNA (490 nucleotides) under uncultured bacterium. RNAcentral's name for it is "partial 16S ribosomal RNA". It matches the Rfam family "Bacterial small subunit ribosomal RNA", at positions 30 to 507 of the family's 1533-position model. The record is from RNAcentral.
AUUGAACGCUGGCGGCAGGCUUAACACAUGCAAGUCGAACGGUAGCAGGAGAAAGCUUGCUUUCUUGCUGACGAGUGGCGGACGGGUGAGUAAUGCUUGGGAAUCUGGCUUAUGGAGGGGGAUAACUACGGGAAACUGUAGCUAAUACCGCGUAAUAUCGAAAGAUUAAAGUGUGGGACCUUCGGGCCACAUGCCAUAAGAUGAGCCCAAGUGGGAUUAGGUAGUUGGUGGGGUAAAGGCCUACCAAGCCGACGAUCUCUAGCUGGUCUGAGAGGAUGACCAGCCACACUGGAACUGAGACACGGUCCAGACUCCUACGGGAGGCAGCAGUGGGGAAUAUUGCGCAAUGGGGGGAACCCUGACGCAGCCAUGCCGCGUGAAUGAAGAAGGCCUUCGGGUUGUAAAGUUCUUUCGGUAUUGAGGAAGGGAUGUGUGCUAAUAGUGCACGUCAUUGACGUUAAAUACAGAAGAAGCACCGGCUAACUCCGUG